This 283-nucleotide unclassified non-coding RNA is filed under the name Cylindrotrichum sp. Its description in RNAcentral is "partial contains 5.8S ribosomal RNA, internal transcribed spacer 2, and large subunit ribosomal RNA". The stretch from base 1 to 71 matches the Rfam family "5.8S ribosomal RNA", at positions 84 to 154 of the family's 154-position model. Lineage: Eukaryota; Fungi; Ascomycota; Sordariomycetes; Glomerellales; Reticulascaceae. The record is from RNAcentral.
GUGAGUCAUCGAAUCUUUGAACGCACAUUGCGCCCGUUAGUAUUCUAGCGGGCAUGCCUGUCCGAGCGUCAUUUCAACCCUCAAGCACCGCUUGGCGUUGGGGUCCUACGUCGUAGGCCCCGAAAUACAGUGGCGGACUCGCCGGGACCUCCUUUGCGCAGUAACGCAUCUCGCACCGGGGCCCGGCGGGCUUCCUGCCGUAAAACCCCCCAAUUUUACGCAAGGUUGACCUCGGAUCAGGUAGGAAUACCCGCUGAACUUAAGCAUAUCAAUAAGCGGAGGA